This 284-nucleotide ribosomal RNA is filed under the name Clostridioides difficile. Its description in RNAcentral is "partial 16S ribosomal RNA". It matches the Rfam family "Bacterial small subunit ribosomal RNA", at positions 1 to 294 of the family's 1533-position model. The record is from RNAcentral. Lineage: Bacteria; Bacillati; Bacillota; Clostridia; Peptostreptococcales; Peptostreptococcaceae.
UUAUUUGAGAGUUUGAUCCUGGCUCAGGAUGAACGCUGGCGGCGUGCCUAACACAUGCAAGUUGAGCGAUUUACUUCGGUAAAGAGCGGCGGACGGGUGAGUAACGCGUGGGUAACCUACCCUGUACACACGGAUAACAUACCGAAAGGUAUGCUAAUACGGGAUAAUAUAUUUGAGAGGCAUCUCUUGAAUAUCAAAGGUGAGCCAGUACAGGAUGGACCCGCGUCUGAUUAGCUAGUUGGUAAGGUAACGGCUUACCAAGGCGACGAUCAGUAGCCGACCUG